Molecule: small nuclear RNA, 107 nt
Filed under: Dasypus novemcinctus (nine-banded armadillo)
Lineage: Eukaryota; Metazoa; Chordata; Mammalia; Cingulata; Dasypodidae
Source: RNAcentral
GUGCUUGCUUUGGCAGCACAUAUACUAAAAUUGGAAUGAUAUAGUGAAGAUUAGCAUGGACCCUGCUCAAGGAUGACAUGCAAAUUCGUGAAGCAUUCCAUAUUUUU